RNAcentral lists this ribosomal RNA (454 nucleotides) under uncultured bacterium. RNAcentral describes it as "partial 16S ribosomal RNA". It matches the Rfam family "Bacterial small subunit ribosomal RNA", at positions 28 to 507 of the family's 1533-position model. The record is from RNAcentral.
GAUGAACGCUGACAGAAUGCUUAACACAUGCAAGUCAACUUGAACUUCGGUUUGGGUGGCGGACGGGUGAGUAACGCGUAAAGAACUUGCCUCACAGAUAGGGACAACAUUUGGAAACGAAUGCUAAUACCUGAUAUUAUGAUUAUAUGGCAUCGUAUAAUUAUGAAAGCUAUAUGCGCUGUGAGAGAGCUUUGCGUCCCAUUAGCUAGUUGGAGAGGUAACGGCUCACCAAGGCGAUGAUGGGUAGCCGGCCUGAGAGGGUGAUCGGCCACAAGGGGACUGGGGCACGGCCCUUACUCCUACGGGAGGCAGCAGUGGGGAAUAUUGGACAAUGGACCAAGAGUCUGAUCCAGCAAUUCUGUGUGCACGAUGAAGUUUUUCGGAAUGUAAAGUGCUUUCAGUUGGGAAGAAAAAAAUGACGGUACCAACAGAAGAAGUGACGGCUAAAUACGUG